Molecule: long non-coding RNA, 1352 nt
Filed under: Arabidopsis lyrata
Lineage: Eukaryota; Viridiplantae; Streptophyta; Magnoliopsida; Brassicales; Brassicaceae
Description: long non-coding RNA (ALYR_LNC001278)
Source: RNAcentral
CUAACAAUAUCUGCUGCCAUGGACUGUUAACUAUAGCUAAAGCCAGCGAGCCGCCGAUAUGGUCGUUGAGCUCAGAGGCGGCUCUGUAACUUGCUUGGUACUGAACCAAGAAUACUGCUACUAUGGCUGUCCCAAUUGGGAAUUUCUUUAUCCUGAAAUGUCUUCUAUUGUCUCUUCUACUAGCAGGUUUCUCUUCUGAAGGAAAUGUCUUACGAGUCACUUGCGGAAUCGAGCUAGCUUUGGAACUGGUGUUGUUUCCAGACGAGGGAAGAGCUGUGUUUGAUGGAGUCCAAUAAUCUUCUCCAAGCAUGUAAGCUGAUCCUUUUUCUUUAGUUUUCCCCCCGCUCUGUUCUGCUUGUUUCAUUGCUGCCACAGCAUCUUGAAGCUUUCUGAUAUCUGGAUCAACUGUUUUUUUUCGUUUGGUGAAAGUUAGACUCAUGUUUGAAUCUGGACUCAACGGUUUCGUGUACGGUGAUGAUCUCCAGUAUAGCCAAUUGGAAAUGGACCUUAUUGCCUCUACUGCACUUAUUUGUACUUCUCUCUGCAAGUAUUAAUAUAACUACUUAUUAUCUGACAGGUAAGUUUAUAACUUGGCUUUUACUACUUCUUACUUCUUAGGAUAAUGGAUAACUCACCUGGGAAGUUUCUUUCGUGGUUCGGCUCAUGGCUUUGGCGUAUCUUUCUUGGAACUUCUUGACAUCAACAAAUACAUUGGAGACACGCUCGCCAACCGUGUUUCCAACCCCGAUUCUCACGUUGCCUCGUGGUUGCUUUGACAUAAGGAACUCUAAUGGAGCAAGGUCAGAUCUCUCCACCAUUCUGCACAUCUCAUAAAGAAUCAUACUUUAUGUAUUUCUCUAAAUGUCUCUCUUGACUUCACAUAUUGAGAGGGAAUUGAAACAAAACCAUUACUACAUGUCUACAUCUACUAGUUAUGUGCUUACGAAAUGCAGUCGACAAGGCAAGCUUCGAUGGCUUCUUUGAUUUUGGAUUCAGGAUCAGCCCAUUGAGCAACAACCCUCGCUCUCCCGUAAGCAGUUUCAAUAGCAAAUGUUUUCUCUGCACACAAAGCACACUUUAAGCAACCAACACACUUAACCUCGUCAACAAAUGCAGCUCGUUGCUCUGUUUCUGGUCCACACCAAACCGAAUAGAUCGGUUUCCCUGUGUAUCCUCUGAGUUCUUCCAGUUUUGCUUGCUCCUACAACAAGAAAGUUUCAUAUUUACUUGGUGUGCCCUUGACAGAGACUACAAGAAUCAAUAUAAGAGCUAACCUUGUCAUAAGCUUGACGCGUGAUCGGAUCAGAGAGAAGCUGGUAAGCCUCGUUAAGGAUGAUGGCCAUGUCGUGACC